This 547-nucleotide unclassified non-coding RNA is filed under the name Hevea brasiliensis (rubber tree). The record is from RNAcentral. Lineage: Eukaryota; Viridiplantae; Streptophyta; Magnoliopsida; Malpighiales; Euphorbiaceae.
AAGAAGAUGAUGAUGAAGAAGAAGCUGUAGACGCAUUGUCUAGUUUUUCAAGCAAUCCCAGAUAUUCUAAUGCUUUAUCCCCAGAGUCCACGCAAGUUACUUGAUAAGAAGAAACUCUAAGCAGCCUCUCUAAAAGCUUCCUAUCAAGAAGACUAUCAUCCACAGCCAAGACAUGAAAAUGUUGCUCCUGCUCCUGCUGCUGAUCUUGCUGUGCCUCUUGUUGCUCUUGUUCCUGUUGAUGUGUAUUUUUAAGACCUGAUUUCUCCUCCAUUUGGUCAGAAAGAAAACUGCGCAACCCAAUUAUACCCAGUACUAGCUUCUGCUAUUCCUUAUAUCACCACACACAAGAACCCCUUAUAUACAGCAGCUUCAGAGAGAGAGAGGGAGAGAGAUGAGAGAUGUGUGGGGUUAUUCCGUGGGGUUUUUAUGAAGUAGGUGAGAAGCAACUGUGGGUUUACAGCAGAAGAAGAAGAGAUUUUAUUAUAUUUUUUUUCUUAAAUUGCAGAGAAGCAGGAGAGAUGUUAUUGUUCUUAUUGUUUUUUUUUUU